This is a small nucleolar RNA of Vicia villosa (hairy vetch), 107 nucleotides long. Lineage: Eukaryota; Viridiplantae; Streptophyta; Magnoliopsida; Fabales; Fabaceae. The record is from RefSeq and is a predicted model, not a curated record.
AAUCCAUGAUGAGGGUAUAACCUCAACAUUUUAUUAAAUCGCUCACAUGUUUCAUAGAACGAUUCCCUAUCAUUUUGAGUAAAACUAGUUAUUUGAUUCCUCAGUUG